Molecule: microRNA precursor, 55 nt
Filed under: Monodelphis domestica (gray short-tailed opossum)
Lineage: Eukaryota; Metazoa; Chordata; Mammalia; Didelphimorphia; Didelphidae
Description: microRNA mdo-mir-7252 precursor
Source: miRBase by way of RNAcentral
UUGGAUAAAGAACAAGGAGAUACAGUCAGGAUAUCUCCCUGUUCCUUAUCCCCUU